AUGUGUCAUCCUGGCGACAGCGAGUGGGACGAAGUAGACCCCGUAACUAGCCCAAAAUCUGGAAAGCGAAUGGGUCUUGGGGAGGCUGAGAUGGCAGCGCGAUUGUUGGAAAGCGUGGAUCAAU
RNAcentral lists this non-coding RNA (124 nucleotides) under Karlodinium veneficum. Lineage: Eukaryota; Dinophyceae; Gymnodiniales; Kareniaceae. The record is from RNAcentral.